This is a long non-coding RNA of Cornus florida, 1265 nucleotides long. RefSeq lists it as uncharacterized. The record is from RefSeq and is a predicted model, not a curated record. The transcript has 2 exons. Lineage: Eukaryota; Viridiplantae; Streptophyta; Magnoliopsida; Cornales; Cornaceae.
GUAAUAUAUAUAUAUAUACUUCGAAAAUAGUUUUUGCGACAAAAAUUGUCAGCAACCAAACUCUAUUAAAACUUCAAGUUAAAAGGCAAUACAGUAGUAGAGAAUAUCAUAACAUUACCUCAUCAAGAGGCUUCUCAAAUUGAAGGUUGAUGCUCUCAGCAUGUGCAAGCAUAACAGGAACUUGUAUACAGGUUGCAGUCAUUUUAACAUUUAUGUCAUUCUACAACAAAGGCGGAGGAGGAGACGAAUCUAAAAUUUCAGCCGAAGAAGAUGGAGAAGACGAAGUAGACGAAUUACUAGCCUUCAAUCUAGCUUCGUUUAUUUCUUCCUCGUUCUCAGCGAGAAGGGCAAUAGUGGAUCCGACGGCGACGACACCACCUUCGUCGACCAUGAUGGCGGCCAAGUAACCGUCAUAAAAGGUCUCGACGUCCAUGUCGGCCUUGUUGGACUCGAUGACGACUACACUCUUGCCCUUAGAAAGUUUGUCACCAUACAAUAUUGGGAUUUCUAGACCCGCGUCAGUUCGAAUCUCGGAUCUCCGUCGCGUACUUGCCCCACGGCCUUCGCUGGACUCCUCUGUAGUGUACUCUCUCUUCCUCUGUAUCCAAAGGUAGGGUCGAUGGCUGAGUCAACUCGGCUAAGUCCAAAAUUUGGUAUGACGACCUCUGCUGAGCCACAUCGAUCUUCAACGAAGGCCUGCGGUCGUUGAAUCUUUGCUCAGAAUUUCAUUGACAGUCCAAAUUUGGUUAUGAUGGCCUCUGUUACUUUGAUCAUUGGAGGAUGCCGACCUCUGUUGAUUAAUUUUCGGUUUUGACUUGAGAUUUUCGGUUUGGGUUUUGGUGGUCGCCGUUGGCAUCAACGAUGCAGUUUAGAAAUAAUAGCCUAAUCUCCACCCAUUUUUCGGCAAUCUCUUCUCUUACAGUCACCACGAAUGUUGAAGAUGUUGACUUACAGUCACCACGAAUGUUGAAGAUGUUGAGGGGGUAAUUUCGUCCCAAAAUUUCGUUAGAAAAUCACUUGAACAGAAGUUAGUUAGAAUACCCCCCUCGUGACAGUUGAGGGGGGUUAUUUGCUAAGAGGUGAAAGUUAAGGGGGGUUAUUUGUAGUUCGCCCUUUAUUUUUUUUUUUUUGUCACGAGUUCCACGCGUCUUGACCAAAGUAAUAUUUUGUUCUUUGUUCAUACUUCUUGAGACUCGAAUGUUCUGUUCAACAUUUUUGAGUCAUCAUGACAUACACAAUAACAUAAAAUUAUAACUUUUUUUCCC